GACGAACGCUGGCGGCGUGCUUAACACAUGCAAGUCGAACGGAAAGGCCCCUUUGGGGGUACUCGAGUGGCGGACGGGUGGGUAACACGUGAGUAACCUGCCCUUGCCUUCGGGAUAACUUCAGGAAACUGGGGCUAAUACCGGAUAGGAAUCCUUGCUGCAUGGUGGGGGUUGGAAAGCUUCGGCGGUUUUGGAUGGACUCGCGGCUUAUCAGCUUGUUGGUGGGGUAGUGGCUUACCAAGGCUUUGACGGGUAGCCGGCCUGGGAGGGCGACCGGCCACAUUGGGACUGGGAUACGGCCCAGAAUCCUACGGGAGGCAGCAGUGGGGAAUAUUGCACAAUGGGCGGAAGCCUGAUGCAGCAACGCCGCGUGCGGGAUGACGGCCUUCAGGUUGUAAAACGCUUUCAGCAGGGGCGAAGCUUGUGGUGACGGUACCUGCAGAAGAAGCACCGGCUAACUACGUG
This 465-nucleotide ribosomal RNA is filed under the name uncultured bacterium. RNAcentral describes it as "partial 16S ribosomal RNA". It matches the Rfam family "Bacterial small subunit ribosomal RNA", at positions 28 to 507 of the family's 1533-position model. The record is from RNAcentral.